Molecule: ribosomal RNA, 782 nt
Filed under: uncultured Neocallimastigales
Lineage: Eukaryota; Fungi; Neocallimastigomycota; Neocallimastigomycetes; Neocallimastigales
Description: partial large subunit ribosomal RNA
Rfam family: Eukaryotic large subunit ribosomal RNA
Source: RNAcentral
CACGCAUGACACACUGCAUAUCAAUAAGCGGAGGAAAAGAAACUAACAAGGAUUCCCCUAGUAACGGCGAGUGAAGCGGGAAGAGCUCAAAUUUGAAAUCUUAAAGGGUUUCCCUUUACGAAUUGUAGUUUAAAGAAGUGUUUUCUGUUGGAGUUUCGGUAAAAGUUCUUUGGAAUAGGACAUCAUAGAGGGUGAGAAUCCCGUAUUUGACCGUUACUUUCCAGCUGUGUGAUACACUUUCAAAGAGUCGGAUUGUUUGGGAAUGCAGUCCAAGAUGGGUGGUAAAUUUCAUCUAAAGCUAAAUAUUGGCGAGAGACCGAUAGCGAACAAGUACCGUGAGGGAAAGAUGAAAAGAACUUUGAAAAGAGAGUUAAACAGUACGUGAAAUUGUCAAAAGGGAAGCGUUUGACACCAGUGUUGUUUAGUUGAAAAUCAAUUCAAUAGUUUUUGAUUUUAAGUAGUAUUGACUUCAUCAGCUUGCUGCUCUCUUUUCAGGAAAUUAUUGAAUGCACUUUUCAGUUAACAAGUCUACAUCAAUUUCUUUUGUUGUAAAAGGGUAAGAGGAAGGUGGCUUAGCGUUUCGGCGUCAAGUGUUUAUAGCCUUUUAUCCUCUGCAAUCGGAGAGAUUGAGGUACUGCAGCGUAGAUCCUUCGGGGUUAGAUACACUUGGUGCUAAGCUAUAGCCUUGUAUAGACAACUUGUUGACUAUGCUCAGUCAUGUAGCUUACUCGCUUGAUGCUAUUUUAACCUACGCUUAGGAUGUUGAUCUACAGAGCGAGAGU